GCCUGCAAGUUUAAGUACAAACUAAAUUAAAGUAAAACCGCAAAAUGCUCAUUAAAUUAGUUAUAGUUCACAAGAGCAAUGCUUAAAUGGAUAACUGUGGUAAUUCUAGAGCUAAUACAUGCAAUCAAGUUUUGAUCAGUAAUGGUGAAAACGCUUCUAUUAGAUCAAAACCAAUCCGGUCAGCCUAGCUGAUCCGUCUGACUUUUGAUGACUCUGAAUAAAACCGCAGAUCACAUUUUCUAAGCAUUGGUGAUUUAUCUUUCAAAUGCCUGACUUAUCAACUUUCGAUGGUAGACUAUAUGUCUACCAUGGUUAUAACGGGUAACGGGGAAUCAGGGUUCGAUUCCGGAGAGGGAGCCCGAGAAACUGCUACCACAUCCAAGGAAGGCAGCAGGCACGCAAAUUACCCACUCCCAGCACGGGGAGGUAGUGACAAAAAAUAACGAUACGGGACUCAUCCGAGGCCCCGUAAUCGGAAUGAGUACACUUUAAAUCCUUUAACAAGGAUCCAUUGGAGGGCAAGUCUGGUGCCAGCAGCCGCGGUAAUUCCAGCUCCAAUAGCGUAUAUUAAAGCUGUUGCGGUUAAAAAGCUCGUAAUUGGUUCUGUGUGCCACGCUGUUGGUUCACCGCCUGUCGGUGUAACUGACAUGUCGUGGGACGUCCUGUCGGUGGUAAUUAAACUGGCCAACUUUACAGUUGCUUGUCUCUGUAUAAUGUUGGUUAUGUUUAAUUGCCGAUUAAACCUGCCGCGGUGCUCUUAAUUGAGUGUCGAGGGAGGCCGACAUGUUUACUUUGAACAAAUUAGAGUGAUUAAAGCAGGCAAAUAUUUGCCUGAAUAGUGGUGCAUGGAAUAAUAGAAUAAGACUUUGGUUCUAAUUUGUUGGUUUUUCGGAAUCCAAGGUAAUGAUCAAUAUGGACGGUCGGGGGCAUUCGUAUUGCGACGUUAGACUUGGCAAAUGCUUUCGCGGUGAAAUUCUUGGAUCGUCGCAAGACGAACUAGAGCGAAAGCAUUUGCCAAGUAUGUCUUAAUUGAUCAAGAACGAAAGUUAGAGGUUCGAAGGCGAUCAGAUACCGCCCUAGUUCUAACCAUAAACGAUGUCAGCCAGCAAUCCGCCGAGUUUUUUUCAUGACUCGACGGGCGGCUUCCGGGAAACCAAAGCUUUUGGGUUCCGGGGGAAGUAUGGUUGCAAAGCUGAAACUUAAAGGAAUUGACGGAAGGGCACCACCAGGAGUGGAGCCUGCGGCUUAAUUUGACUCAACACGGGAAACCUCACCAGGCCCAGACAUUGAAAGGAUUGACAGAUUGAUAGCUCUUUCUUGAUUCAGUGGGUAGUGGUGCAUGGCCGUUCUUAGUUGGUGGAACGAUUUGUCAGGUUAAUUCCGAUAACGAACGAGACUUUAACCUGCUAACUAGACGGACAAUAUCUAAGCUAUUGCCGUCUAAUCUCUUCUUAGAGGGACAAGCGGCUCCCAGCCGCACGAGAUUGAGCAAUAACAGGUCUGAAUGCCCUUAGAUGUUCUGGGCCGCACGCGCGCUACACUGAAGGAAUCAGCGUGUGCCUCCCUGGCCGAAAGGUCCGGGUAAUCCGCUGAACCUCCUUCGUGCUAGGAAUUGGGGCUUGCAAUUAUUCCCCAUGAACGAGGAAUUCCCAGUAAGCGCGAGUCAUAAGCUCGCGUUGAUUACGUCCCUGCCCUUUGUACACACCGCCCGUCGCUACUACCGAUUGAAUGAUUUAGUGAGGUCUUCAGACUGGUAAUAACCGAAUGUUGCCUUCGUGUAAUAUCGAUGUUACCGGAAAGAUGACCAAACUUGAUCAUUUAGAGGAAGUAAAAGUCGUAACAAGGUUUCC
Molecule: ribosomal RNA, 1850 nt
Filed under: Hypselosoma hickmani
Lineage: Eukaryota; Metazoa; Arthropoda; Insecta; Hemiptera; Schizopteridae
Description: SSU rRNA
Rfam family: Eukaryotic small subunit ribosomal RNA
Source: RNAcentral